Molecule: ribosomal RNA, 253 nt
Filed under: uncultured bacterium
Lineage: Bacteria
Description: partial 16S ribosomal RNA
Rfam family: Bacterial small subunit ribosomal RNA
Source: RNAcentral
UACGUAGGGUGCGAGCGUUAAUCGGAAUUACUGGGCGUAAAGCGUGCGCAGGCGGUUUUGUAAGCCAGAUGUGAAAUCCCCGGGCUUAACCUGGGAAUGGCAUUUGGGACUGCAAGGCUCGAGUGCGGCAGAGGAGACUGGAAUUCUCGGUGUAGCGGUGAAAUGCGUAGAUAUCGAGAGGAACACCUGCGGCGAAGGCGGGUUGCUGGGCCGACACUGACGCUGAUGCGCGAAAGCCAGGGGAGCGAACGGG